UUACUACUGUACAGGAGCACCCGUUGAUCAAAAGGCGUCUCCCCAGGUCUGAGCCUUUCCAUAGACUCCGUUAGGCUGAAGCCUCGAUUGCAAAUGUGGGCAGACAUCGGUACGCAUCUUUUUAGUUGGGGGACUGCGUUCGCGCUAUCCCCUG
RNAcentral lists this small nuclear RNA (154 nucleotides) under Mytilus galloprovincialis (Mediterranean mussel). Lineage: Eukaryota; Metazoa; Mollusca; Bivalvia; Mytilida; Mytilidae. The record is from RNAcentral.